CCUACGGGUGGCAGCAGUCGGGAAUUUUGCCCAAUGGACGAAAGUCUGAGGCAGCAACGCCGCGUGAGGGAUGAAGGCCUUCGGGUUGUAAACCUCUUUUCUCAGGGACGAUGAUGACGGUACCUGAGGAAUAAGCCACGGCAAACUACGUGCCAGCAGCCGCGGUAAUACGUAGGUGGCAAGCGUUGUCCGGAUUUACUGGGCGUAAAGAGCGCGCAGGCGGUCGGUCAAGUCGGAUGUGAAAGCCCCCGGCUCAACUGGGGAGGGUCAUUCGAUACUGAUCGACUCGAAGGCAGGAGAGAGAAGCGGAAUUCCCGGUGUAGUGGUGAAAUGCGUAGAUAUCGGGAGGAACACCAGAGGCGAAGGCGGCUUCUUGGCCUGUUCUUGACGCUGAGGCGCGAAAGCCAGGGGAGCAAACGGGAUUAGAUACCCCAGUAGUC
Molecule: ribosomal RNA, 440 nt
Filed under: uncultured bacterium
Lineage: Bacteria
Description: bacterial SSU rRNA
Rfam family: Bacterial small subunit ribosomal RNA
Source: RNAcentral